GUCGGGGUGGCUCAGCCCGGUGGAGCGUCGGACUCAUAAUCCGGAGGUCGCGGGUUCGAACCCCGCCCCCGACACCA
RNAcentral lists this transfer RNA (77 nucleotides) under Euryarchaeota archaeon RBG_13_57_23. RNAcentral's name for it is "tRNA-Met". It matches the Rfam family "tRNA". Rfam says of the family: Transfer RNA (tRNA) molecules are approximately 80 nucleotides in length. Their secondary structure includes four short double-helical elements and three loops (D, anti-codon, and T loops). RNAcentral also lists the same sequence under 2 other names. The record is from RNAcentral. Lineage: Archaea; Methanobacteriati; Methanobacteriota.